This 948-nucleotide ribosomal RNA is filed under the name Vreelandella titanicae. RNAcentral describes it as "bacterial SSU rRNA". It matches the Rfam family "Bacterial small subunit ribosomal RNA", at positions 70 to 1018 of the family's 1533-position model. The record is from RNAcentral. Lineage: Bacteria; Pseudomonadati; Pseudomonadota; Gammaproteobacteria; Oceanospirillales; Halomonadaceae.
UAACAGGGGUAGCUUGCUACCCGCUGACGAGCGGCGGACGGGUGAGUAAUGCAUAGGAAUCUGCCCGAUAGUGGGGGAUAACCUGGGGAAACCCAGGCUAAUACCGCAUACGUCCUACGGGAGAAAGGGGGCUCCGGCUCCCGCUAUUGGAUGAGCCUAUGUCGGAUUAGCUAGUUGGUGAGGUAAUGGCUUACCAAGGCAACGAUCCGUAGCUGGUCUGAGAGGAUGAUCAGCCACAUCGGGACUGAGACACGGCCCGAACUCCUACGGGAGGCAGCAGUGGGGAAUAUUGGACAAUGGGGGCAACCCUGAUCCAGCCAUGCCGCGUGUGUGAAGAAGGCCCUCGGGUUGUAAAGCACUUUCAGCGAGGAAGAACGCCUAUCGGUUAAUACCCGGUAGGAAAGACAUCACUCGCAGAAGAAGCACCGGCUAACUCCGUGCCAGCAGCCGCGGUAAUACGGAGGGUGCAAGCGUUAAUCGGAAUUACUGGGCGUAAAGCGCGCGUAGGUGGCUUGAUAAGCCGGUUGUGAAAGCCCCGGGCUCAACCUGGGAACGGCAUCCGGAACUGUCAGGCUAGAGUGCAGGAGAGGAAGGUAGAAUUCCCGGUGUAGCGGUGAAAUGCGUAGAGAUCGGGAGGAAUACCAGUGGCGAAGGCGGCCUUCUGGACUGACACUGACACUGAGGUGCGAAAGCGUGGGUAGCAAACAGGAUUAGAUACCCUGGUAGUCCACGCCGUAAACGAUGUCGACCAGCCGUUGGGUGCCUAGAGCACUUUGUGGCGAAGUUAACGCGAUAAGUCGACCGCCUGGGGAGUACGGCCGCAAGGUUAAAACUCAAAUGAAUUGACGGGGGCCCGCACAAGCGUGGCAGCAUGUGGAUUUAUUCGAUGCAACGCGUAGACCUUACCUACCCUUGACAUCUACGGAGCAGGAGAGAUUCUGGUGUGCC